AGCCGAACAUGUGCUUGCCAUAAACCUGCCUUGGUCACUUAGAGGUCAGAUGCCUGUCUUGUGACAAGGAACCAAUCAGAAGUUAGCUGGUGGCGCUAUGCUUUACGACCCUGGGUGUGCUUUACGGACAAGCGCACGACAAUGACGUAGAGAGCAUAGCAACCACCCUGGGAGGGCCUAUGAGCCAUAACAACCAGUUGACCAAUCAACACAGGGCAAGUCCUCCAAGCCUGGAGGCACACCAAUCAUGAGCCUGUGCGUACCCCUAGACACUCCCCUUACGCUGCCCUAUAAGAUCUUUGGGGAGACCUUAGGAGCCGUCUUUUCUAGCCGUCAGCCAUGGCGGGUGGGUGAAAGACCCGAGCUAACAUGGGGUUAGUUCGUUAAAUUACAAUAAAGCCUCGUGCAGUUUGCAGCAAGCUCUCGAAUCCGCCUGGUGAUUGGGGUGACCGCGAACCUGGCCUGAGACCCCGGAUACUUGAGUUUUCGGGGGUCUAACAUUUUGGGGGCUCGUCCGCGAUUUGCGACCACCCUUCACCUGAGUGGAUUCGAUCUUGGAGGUUUCUGCUUCUGGCAGACAUCUGAAUAUCAGUUGCUGACUACAGACUGUUCUAAGACUGCGAGCCCUAGACUUGCUGUGGAUGUGAACCAGUUCAGCUGAUAUGGACACCCCCUGUCUCUGCAACAGUGUCUGCUACCCAGAAGCCCCUGAUGAAUUCCCCAUUGCCUAAAUCCCUUUUUGCUUUUGACUAGCAUUUCAACCUUCUGGGGUCCCUAACUUCGUCCCAAAGUCAGCAGGAAGCAGUUUAGAAAAGAAUUUCGGCGUCCAUUUUCCC
Molecule: long non-coding RNA, 836 nt
Filed under: Cricetulus griseus (Chinese hamster)
Lineage: Eukaryota; Metazoa; Chordata; Mammalia; Rodentia; Cricetidae
Description: lncRNA (ENSCGRG00015020094.2)
Source: RNAcentral